AGGAUUGUCUGGCAAGGAAGGUACCAUGAUCAUGAAGAUGAUUGCAUUUCGAUGAAAUCCAUUGCAUUUCAGAUGUGCUGACCCCUGCAAAUCCCCCAAAUUGGGGAAACCUGGCUGUAUAAUUUGUGAAUGAAGAAAUAUGUAUACACACCCC
RNAcentral lists this small nuclear RNA (154 nucleotides) under Mesocricetus auratus (golden hamster). RNAcentral's name for it is "U1 spliceosomal RNA (ENSMAUG00000003570.1)". It matches the Rfam family "U1 spliceosomal RNA". Rfam says of the family: U1 is a small nuclear RNA (snRNA) component of the spliceosome (involved in pre-mRNA splicing). Its 5' end forms complementary base pairs with the 5' splice junction, thus defining the 5' donor site of an intron. Lineage: Eukaryota; Metazoa; Chordata; Mammalia; Rodentia; Cricetidae. The record is from RNAcentral.